GGAUCUGGAGCUGUUCAUCCACCAGAGGGCGCUGGAGGCUUUGUUCCAUCUGAGGGCGUCUCCUGACCUACGCACCUGAAACCGUUCUGCCAUCAGGAGCUGUAUAACUGGAGGAGGCUGCUGACACUUCCCUGCCAGAUUGUUAGCCAGUUAUGCGGAUUGUCCUAUGACGUGCUGAAAACAGAUCCAGCCCAGGACCCUUCCGGACCUACAGAUCGGCAGCCUUGCUUCUGGCAGAACAGUUCAGGCUUCCAGACUUACCUGUCCGUCCUCCAACGCCACCGCAGCCCGCAGUCCUCCGCGCCUCAAACAGACUCCGGAUUUCCCAGGUUUUCCCCCCCAGUCCUUUCUCCUCCCGAUCGGAGGUAAGCUCUCAGCCAGCGCCAUCUCCAAAUUUCCACGACCCCAAACUUACCGUCUGUUUCUUCCAUAGCUGACCUGAGAUCCAGUCCCAAACGCUCCCGGAUUGUUUACCAGUUUUUUCCCCCUUUGUUGUAAUAAAUCUCUUAAAUCAUU
Long non-coding RNA from Poecilia latipinna (sailfin molly), 516 nucleotides. RefSeq lists it as uncharacterized. The transcript has 2 exons. Lineage: Eukaryota; Metazoa; Chordata; Actinopteri; Cyprinodontiformes; Poeciliidae. The record is from RefSeq and is a predicted model, not a curated record.